Adelges cooleyi (spruce gall adelgid) is the source of this 933-nucleotide long non-coding RNA. RefSeq lists it as uncharacterized. Lineage: Eukaryota; Metazoa; Arthropoda; Insecta; Hemiptera; Adelgidae. The transcript has 2 exons. The record is from RefSeq and is a predicted model, not a curated record.
UCGGUUUAUGUAAUCACGUGAUUAGUUCACCUUAGCUGUAUCUAUAAUGAGUUCUUCAAGUAAGAGAGGAGAUUCGCCUCUAAUAAAAACUCUCAAUAUUUGCUCAAAUAAAAAAAGUAUUACGCUCGGAGAUGUAUGGAGUUCUUUAAAUAAUAUUCAGUCUUCACAUGACGCUAGUUUUAAGGAUGUCAAUAAUCAGUUAUAUUUAUUAGAAACUUCACUUAAGACCGCUUUUAAUAACAUAUCUAAUGUGCUUGCUCAAAUUAAAUCUGACAUAGACGCACUACAGGCAUAUAUGGAUGAGCUGAAAAUUCGUUUGGAUCACCUUGAAAAACGACCUCAUGCUGCUUUGCAUCCUGAUAAUGAUGUGACACAAAAGGCCAAAGACAGGCUAACUAGAUCUAACAGAGUGUUAGCUUUCAAUGUGGUCGACACUUCUACUGACUCAGGUAAUGAACUAAUUAGUACAGCUAAAAAUGUAUUUCAUGAUUUGGAUCUUAAUACGACGGUUGUUAACUGUAAAUCGAUGACAAAACCCCGUCCCAUUUUGGUCCAACUUCAGUCCUCUUCUGACGUCAUUGAUGGGGUUCAAAGUAAAUCAAACCUUAGACAAUUAGACAGUCGGCGUUCUAUUUGGAUUGGAGAAGAUUUAACUCUCGCUCAACGUCGUGUUAUACAUAACCUGAGAUGUGAGUUAAAACGUCUACGGGAUUCUGGUGAUAAUGGCUGGUUGAUCAAAUACAACAGAGGAAUUCCGUCGUUAGUUAAAAAAAACUAAUUAAUCACCGCAAGAGAUGAUCAAAAGUAUAUUUGCCUAUUUUAUUAAAAGAGGACAUCGUAAAUUAAAGAUAUUGUACAAUACAACCUGUUUAGACGCCUAUGCGACUGGUGUUCAAUUAAUGGUCCGAUGAUAAAUGUAUUCGUAUUUCGUUA